RNAcentral lists this ribosomal RNA (406 nucleotides) under uncultured bacterium. Its description in RNAcentral is "partial 16S ribosomal RNA". It matches the Rfam family "Bacterial small subunit ribosomal RNA", at positions 30 to 526 of the family's 1533-position model. The record is from RNAcentral.
AUUGAACGCUGGCGGCAGGCUUAACACAUGCAAGUCGAACGAGUGGCGGACGGGUGAGUAAUGCUUGGGAAUCUAGCUUAUGGAGGGGGAUAACUACGGGAAACUGUAGCUAAUACCGCGUACCAUAGGAUGAGCCCAUAUGGGAUUAGCUAGUUGGUGAGGUAAUGGCUCACAAGGGCGACGAUCCCUAGCUGGUCUGAGAGGAGGAUCGGCAACACGGGGACUGUGACAGGCCCAAGACUCCUACGGGAGGCAGCAGUGGGGAAUAUUGCACAAUGGGCGCAAGCCUGAUGCAGACAUGCCGCGUGUAUGAAGAAGGCCCUAGGGUGGUAAAGUACUUUCAGUCGGGAGGCGUUACCGACAGAAGAAGCACCGGCUAACUCCGUGCCAGCAGCCGCGGUAAUAC